Molecule: ribosomal RNA, 492 nt
Filed under: uncultured bacterium
Lineage: Bacteria
Description: partial 16S ribosomal RNA
Rfam family: Bacterial small subunit ribosomal RNA
Source: RNAcentral
AGUGAACGCUGGCGGUAGGCCUAACACAUGCAAGUCGAACGGCAGCACAGUAAGAGCUUGCUCUUACGGGUGGCGAGUGGCGGACGGGUGAGGAAUACAUCGGAAUCUACUUUUUCGUGGGGGAUAACGUAGGGAAACUUACGCUAAUACCGCAUACGACCUACGGGUGAAAGCAGGGGAUCUUCUGACCUUGCGCGAUUGAAUGAGCCGAUGUCGGAUUAGCUAGUUGGCGGGGUAAAGGCCCACCAAUGCGACGAUCCGUAGCUGGUCUGAGAGGAUGAUCAGCCACACUGGAACUGAGACACGGUCCAGACUCCUACGGGAGGCAGCAGUGGGGAAUAUUGGACAAUGGGCGCAAGCCUGAUCCAGCCAUACCGCGUGGGUGAAGAAGGCCUUCGGGUUGUAAAGCCCUUUUGUUGGGAAAGAAAAGCAGCAGGUUAAUACCCCGCUGUUCUGACGGUACCCAAAGAAUAAGCACCGGCUAACUUCGUG